This 235-nucleotide unclassified non-coding RNA is filed under the name Hevea brasiliensis (rubber tree). Lineage: Eukaryota; Viridiplantae; Streptophyta; Magnoliopsida; Malpighiales; Euphorbiaceae. The record is from RNAcentral.
GAAAAAAAAAAAAAAACUAAGCUCUCUCUCUAAACUAAAGAGAGAAGCUUUCGAAGAGAACAAGUGUUACAAUAAAGAUAUAAUUGAUUAAAAGCCUUAAAUUGGCAUUGAGAAGAUCAUAAAAUUUGUUUGGGUCAAUCAAGCAAAUACCUCCUCACUAAGCAAUGUGCCGCCUAGUUUUUCAUCAAACAUUUUCCAUGUCUCUCUUCAGAUGGAUUAUUAUAUCCAAGAUGAC